RNAcentral lists this long non-coding RNA (990 nucleotides) under Mus spicilegus (steppe mouse). RNAcentral's name for it is "lncRNA (ENSMSIG00000007519.1)". The record is from RNAcentral. Lineage: Eukaryota; Metazoa; Chordata; Mammalia; Rodentia; Muridae.
GACAAAGCAAGGGGGCAGGGGGAAGAAAAUGUGAUAUAUAAAAAACGAAUGGAGUCUGAUUCAGCUCUAAAGAAGGAAAUCAUGUCAUGGUUUCCAAGAUAAUGGAUACAACUGGAGAUUGUCACGUGAAACUAAGUUACCAGAUUCAGAUAGAUACAUACCAUGAGUGUUCGCUCCUGUUGGGUAGGGCCGGCAUUUGGCAAGAUGGAAGAUGAACGGAGGAUGGUAUGAGGAGUACCACAGAAAAAAUGCUGCAGGAGACCAGGACCUGGCGUGAUGUUCGAAAUACCAAAUACCAGAGUAAUCCUAGUUGCUAACAGAUCUACCCAGGAUGUUCAUAUGAAGAUAAACUGAGAUGCUGUUCAGAAAGAGCCCACUGUGUGAGACACCAUCAAGUCCCCCUGAAAGAUCCUCGUCCCACAUCUUCAGAUCUCCUUGUGUCCACUGCAGAUGUAUGGGCAGGACUGCGAGGUUCCGUCACCAAUUUCCAAAUAAGGAUGCAAAGCUAAAUCAGAAUUCAGAGAGGAAGUCAGAGAGACCUCUAACGUAAUAAUAGGGCUGAGUCCACACACUCACACACACACACACACACACACACACACAGAAGAAAAAAAAAAUACUGGAUGACCCAGCCUGACCAUGAAAGCCUUCGCAGCUUGUCAGAAAACCACCAGAGGGCUCAAGUCUAGAGGCAUCUCUGUGACCCCUUUUCUCACGGCAGUCUCUACCCUGUCUCUGAAGGGAAAUUCAGAACCGACUUGAGUUUCAGUUGUGAAUAAGAUGACCUUUGAAGUGAAGGUAUACCUAAAAUCACUGACCUAGUGAGUCCUAACUCUGGGGUAUCUUCAAGGAAGUUAGGGUGCAUAGGAAAAGGGUAGGAGGCAUUUUAAAACUGCCAAAUGGGAGUCAGUGGGAUUUUAUCGUCCAUGGUUUGUUUAAAUGAAUGCCCCAUUUCGUGGUCUUCCACGAAGGAGGCCUUGACAAGUGGUG